Molecule: long non-coding RNA, 5849 nt
Organism: Heterocephalus glaber (naked mole-rat)
Lineage: Eukaryota; Metazoa; Chordata; Mammalia; Rodentia; Bathyergidae
Source: RefSeq, a predicted model, not a curated record
GUUAUCAGAAGUCCAGAAGACAGGCUUUCUUUCUGCUGGCCUUGAACCGGAAGUAAUAAGCCUGGAGCUGCCAGGAGCCGGUGUGUAGGGAGGGCAGUGCCAGAGCGAAGCAAACCAGAGACAGGCCAGCCUGCAAACUGAAGAGAGGCCAGGUCCUGGGGACAUGGAGGAGCCACGAGGCUUUGGGGAGAUGGUUGUUUCUUCCAUUCCGGAGAAUCAUUCAGCAAAAUCUCUGGAGCCUUCAUUGGCUGGACCAGGCCAGAAGGAGCUGCCCAGGCCCUGGUGAGGAGUACUAAAUUUUAUUCUGCAGGCAGCAGAGAGCCACUGCAGGCUCUAAGCUGGGUGUGGCACGUUCAGGUCUGUGAUCUGGGAAGAGUUCCUGGCUGUGUAGUGGGGCCUCGGAGGGCAGGACACCGCCUCAGAGAUUAUCCUGAAGUCCAGCUGUGGCCCCAGGGCCUGCUGUCCAGGAGACACAAAGAGGGCCGAGGGGCGGGAACCCGGAUGUGUUGCAGCGUCACAGCACCACAGAGAGGCACCAGUGGGCUCAGCCUCAGCUGCGCUGCCCAAGGCCAGGCUUGCAGCUCCCUUCAAGGUGCACACAGACCCCGGCCUCCUGCCCAGUCCCCGAGCCUGCUUGCCUCCUAAAGAGCAAGAUGUCAGAAGGAAGGCAGCACCGAAGAUGUGCAAAUGAAGGGCGGAGAAAGAGAAAACUCCUGGCCAGGGGAUGGAGAUCUGCGUUGUACCAUGGAUCCAGUUAUACCUGAGACAAGUUACCACUGGGCUUUGCAGUAGAGGCCUCCAGAGUCCACCUGACAUCGACCACCUUGAUCCACCAGGGGUGGUGGAACCCAGCAGCGACAUUGACACGAAGCCACCGGGAAAAGGCCUGGCGGGAGCUGGCUACAAUGUUGAUGAAUUGUGGCAAGAAUUGAAUCCAUUCUCUUUAUAUAGCAGACCUCAGAAGCCACAAACCCAGGCAUUAAAGCCCGGGGUUGUGCCACUGGACUCUAAGGUUCAAAUCCCAGCUCUACCAGUUACCAGCUGUGAACAGGGCCCUGGGAAGGCUCCUAUAUCUGUCUCUGGCUCUGCUUCCCAUAAAAUGUUGGGAGAUUUUCAGCACUAAAUGCAUAUAACUUAGCAAGGACAGAGUGAUUUCUGAUUUUAUUAUAACAAAUAUAAAUUUAUGACUUGGUAUUUAUUGGUACCAAGCACACAUACAUUAAUUUAUUAUGUGUAUUACACCCCCGAUUUUCACAAGCAACUCUGUAUAGAGAGAAGAACUCUCGGUCACAUCCUACAGAUGAGGAAACUGAGGCCCAGGGAGGCUAAGUCCAGGUUAAGGUUAAGCUCAAGUUCCCAUGGAGUCAGGACUGGGAAUCUCAGCCGGAUGUGACUGGCUCCAAACGUCAUUCUCUUUGUGCUGCACUGGCCAGAUUGGCUUCUCUCAGCUCCCCAGCCAGUGUGGACCGGAAGCGAGUUCAGCUGGGCACGGCUGAGGAGGGUGGGUUGGGCUGGAACCCCGCCCGCCCAUCCACCCCAGCCACGAGGACUCCAUCGGGCAACUGGGGUGGGUUAGCCUGGUCUUAUACUCAGCAUGCCAGGGCUGUAGAAGUUCACGUGCCCACAACCAUGUGACCUUCCCAGGCAAGCGGGAUCCAGUUACAUCGCAGCAGUGGCCCCAAGGAACAAACACAGCUUGUGUCUUCCUCCAAGGGCUUAUUUCCUUUGUCUUGUGAGCAUUGAAAAAUGAAAGGAAUGAUAAGGAUUUGAUGGGGGGGUGCCCUGGAAAAUUCUGCAGAACUUGGGUAACUCAUCCAGAGGAAAGCAAGGGGGAGUUUUCCAACCAAAUCCAAAGGCAGAGAAACCCAACACGAAGGCCUGAGCCCUGUGAGGUCUCCUGGAUUCCUAGGUUCUCUUUAGAAGGCACAGAGGCCCCAGGCCUGGGGCGGAAGUCCCAUAACCCAGUACUGCCACCAGGCUCCUGUGGACAGACCACGAAAUCUCUCCAGGGCUCAGCUUCCUUGGCUACUCUGCAUCAGUAAUGCCAACUCCCAGGCUCUGGGUUGUUACAAAGAAAUGAGAAACUGUGUGUAGACAGUGGUUCUGCUGGGGGGAUUAACACCCUUGGGGACAUAUGGCAACGUCUGGAAACUUUUUUAGUUGUCACACUGGGAAAAGCAACUGGUGAGUGAAGACCGAGGACACUGCCACACACCACACAGUGCCCAGGACACCCUGCCAAAGAAUGGCCCUCUCCAAAGACCCAGGGUGCUGUGGCUGAGCAAGUGCUGGUGUAGAGUCUCAAAUGUUUAGUUCACAUGCUGAUGUUGGUUUUACUGUUCCAUUGGCGCGCAUGUGGGAAGGGGGACAGGAGAACAGGGUGGCCCAGGAAGAAGGCAGAGCUUGCAUGCCAGCUGCCCCUGGAGACAGAUCUGCUGUCCUCCUUCAGACAAUGUUCACAACCCCUGCCCUCAGGAAGUGUUUGGUCCAGAAGGAGAGACAGCCAGCAGACGAAGCAAGCACUUAAAGAAUACUGGUUCCAAAUAUCCACCAAGAGUGAUGAACGGAGGAUGGUGAUUCAAAAGGAGUGAGGUUUGGACACAGAGGAGUCUUGACAUUAUGCUGAGUGGGAGAAGCCAUCGCUGUGUGACUGCAUUGUUACCAAAAGAGCAGGCAGAUCCUCAGACUGAAAGUAGCUGGUGGUUCCCUGAGCUGAAAGAGUUGAGGAAAAAGGCAGAGAGACCGCUAGUGGCUAUAGAAUUUCCUUCUGGGCCAAUGAGAAUGGUAGUGCUGGCUGCCCAGCUCAAUAAUAUACUGCAUGCCAUGGGACUGCACGCUUUAAUGUGUGAACUGGGAGCUACAUGAAUGAAAGCUUAAUAAAGCCAUUAUAAAUAACAAUAAUACUGAUGAAUGGCUAUACUGAUGAAUGAAAUAAGCAACCAGCAGGGCCAUUGUGCUCAGGGGGGAUACAGAUGGCAGGUGACAUCUAAGGAAGAGACAGAGACUAAGUUCUGGUGCAGGGGACAACAUGAUGUGCAGAGUCCCCAGGGCAUGAGCCCGAUGUGUGGUCCUACAAGGGAUCAGCUGCAUGCACCGUGGAGUGGGAGCUGCAGAGAAAGGUGCAGAGGGCUGACUGGGCAGUGACCUUAGGGACCUGGCCUCUAUGCUCAGGACCCUGAGAAGUAUUUCCUCCCUGCCACUCAAUGCUUGGGCAGAUUGUCUGGCUUCCACAUGCAGGGUAAGUUGAUUUGCAGAAACUUUUUCUGUUAUUCCUUUUAGGAGUGUCUUCAAACCCCCAGGGAAGCGCGGGCAGAGGGGAGGGUGCCAAGGAGCUCCUAGUAAUUCAAUCCGGAGAAGCUGUGACCUCUAGCACCCCAGGGUCACACAGCUGCGCACUGGCCGGCCACCCUGUACCAGUGUCCUCUGCCAGCUGGUCUGAGAGGGGGUCUCUGUGCCCUGCUCCAGGAUCUGCCCCCCAGUCCGUCCUGGGGUUCCACCUGUUUCCAGAGCUUCCCAGAAGGGUGAUGCUGACUGUCCCAGCACUGCCUUCCGGGGAAUUUUGUGUUUCCCAAGCCACAGAGAGAUCGCAGUACCAGGGAUGGUACAGGGCCAACCAUGGUGGGAGAUGCCAGAAAUGUCCUGCCACAUGGGCACUGUGCUCUGCACUGGAGGGCAGCGGCACAGUAAGCUUCGUUCCCCAGAAGCUCCUUCCAUCCUGCUGGGGAGCCCUUGGCUCUGCCCUCCCUGGGGCCCACCCCUCUGACCACUCCCCCCUACCCCCAUGCGGGGUCUUCUGAGCUCAGCUACAUCCCACCUGCUACAAUCACCAGGGAGCCCCAUGCCUGGAGGUGCUGCCGCCACAGGCCAGGUCACCACAGUGACACAGGAGACCUGGCAGCUGUUGGUUCUUGCUGGGAGCUGUGGAGGGCACCAGCGUCAUGCCAUCCCCUUGGGUGCACACAGCCUCUCAGGCCGGAUUUAUGCUGCAGGCAGGAGAGCACGAACAUCACCUGCUCUGCAAGCGAGGAGCGGUGACAUCACGCAGAGGGCACAGCCCCGACGGGAGCCCAGCCAGUGGGACCCGAAUCUGGAUUCCUUCCCCAGAUCCCAGGACUUCCUGCCUCUUGGGGAACCUCCGGGCCUGAGGGUAGGCCUACGAGAGCCUGGGCACUGGAAUGGGCAUCUGAGCACUGGGGGUUUGGGGACCCGGGCCUCAGAGGGCUGUGAGAAGUGGCAGGGUACGGUGUCUGGACCAGGACACACAGGAGGCAGAGGCUUUGGGGCACAGGAGAAAGGACUCUGGCUCUCAGUGGGCAGCCCUCAGUUUAAGCAGAUGCCCGUUAAGGAAUGUUUGUAAACUCCAGCCCUUCCUUCCUCCCGUCGGGGACAUCUAUCACCUCCUGGCCUUGGCUGAAGCUAGGGGUACAGUAGACCCUCCUCAUCAACACAGACCUCUGGGCUGUUACCGCAUCCCAGAUGCUGGGAGGGUGGGUCUCCAGCUCCUUAGAUGAUGAACCCAGAGUUGGUCAGUCCCUGCUGCUCGGGACUCAGGUGACUUGGCUUCUCGUUUUGUCCCCCAUUACACUGGAAGGUCCCCAAGGGCAAAGACUGCCUCCCCAUCAGUUGGGGCUCUGGGUUGGGGACAGGUGGGGGCCUAGGGCUGAGGGCUGGCAGGAGAAAAAGAGAGCCAGCUUCUCAAAGCAUCCUGGCCCUAGGGGUGGGGUGGUGGGCACAGGACUCGAUUCUUGACCCUGUGCCAGGCCAGAUAGCCUGGUCCCCUGGAAAGGGGCCAGGAUGGGGCUUGGGUCUGGCACCGCCCCGGGCUCAGUGCCCACCCCAAUGUGGUUCUCUCUGGGGCCUGGAAUAACCUCAAGCAUGGCAACUGGGUCAUUUCCCAGGACCCAGACUUCUUUGUAGGGUUGGCAUGCCCUGUCUUGUCCCUCAAGGUUUUGGUGCUUGUCACUCUCCUUCGCUUGGCCAAGUGUAGGGACAAAAUUAGCUCUCUACUCUCACUCUUGGGGCUCUCCAAGCAGCCAAACCAUCCCAGGGAGGGACCAGAAUUCGGCCUCCUGGGAAUCUGCCCAAGGCUUUUUCCCCUGGUUCCUCUGGGAAAACAUCCAGAAACAGCCUGAAAGGUCUUGGCACAUACGGGUGGGAUCAGGCCCUGCUGGGCCAUCAAGAGAAGCCCCCCGGGGCUCUGGGAACCUGUGAGAUUCCACUGCAGCCAAGGGGGUGAUUUGCACUCAGAGGCCCCCCCCAGGAGGUCUCCCCAGGGACCCCCACUGCGGUCUUGCUCCGCAGGCCAAAUGCAAUUUCAGGGAAACCUCAGAAGUCAAAUCCUCUCCAAAAGUUCGGCCUGGAGCCAGAUCUUGAGUACAGAAAUCCAUCGGCUGUUAAGGAUGGUCAGAAAAAUAGGGGCUCAGCAGACAUGACCCCUGUCUGAUCUUCCCUGUCUGUCUGUGGCCACCCCUUGUUGUGUCCUGGGAGAGCUGAGGACAGGCCACCUGCUCUAGGGACCCACUCUCCAUAACUGGACUUGUGUGUGGGGGUGGGUGGGUAGGGAGUAAGGGCUAGGCAGGGACAAUCCCAGAAGACCCUUUGGCAACCCUCCUCCCCAUAUACUUUGGCGACAUAUGUCCUCAAGACCCAAAGGAAGGUGACAGGAGGGUCUAGGCUUGGCAGCUUGUCAUUUGCCAGGGUCUUGUGGCGCCAUUAAAUGAGGGGCCUAUAAGUCAAGUAGAGAUGAGUUCAAAUUCCACAUUGGACCGGAGCAGUGGCACAGAUCUGUAAUCUCAGCUACUUGGCAGGCAGAGGCAGGAGGAUUCCAAGUUCCAGGUCAGCCUGGGCUA